This 484-nucleotide ribosomal RNA is filed under the name uncultured bacterium. RNAcentral describes it as "partial 16S ribosomal RNA". It matches the Rfam family "Bacterial small subunit ribosomal RNA", at positions 30 to 507 of the family's 1533-position model. The record is from RNAcentral.
AUUGAACGCUAGCGGGAUGCUUUACACAUGCAAGUCGAACGGCAGCGCGGUCUUCGGUCUGGCUGCGAGUGGCGAACGGGUGAGUAAUGUAUCUGAACGUGCCCAGUAGCGGGGGAUAACUACGCGAAAGCGUAGCUAAUACCGCAUACGCCCUACGGGUGAAACCAGGGGAUCGUAAGACCUUGCACUCUUGGAGGGGUCGAUUUCGGAUUAGCUAGUUGGUUAGGUAACGGCUCGCCAAGCCGACGAUCCGUAGCUGGUUUGAGAGGACGACCAGCCACACUGGGACUGAGACACGGACAAGACUACUGCGAGAGGCAGCAGUGGGGAAUUUUAGACAAUGGGGGCAACCCUGAUACAGUCAGCCCGCGUGUGCGAUGAAAGCCUUGGGGUUGUAAAGCACUUUUGGGAGGAGAGAACCGUCGCGGGCUAAUACCACGUGGAACUGACGGUACCUGCAAAAGAAGCACCGGCUAACUACGUG